This 401-nucleotide ribosomal RNA is filed under the name uncultured bacterium. Its description in RNAcentral is "bacterial SSU rRNA". It matches the Rfam family "Bacterial small subunit ribosomal RNA", at positions 357 to 775 of the family's 1533-position model. The record is from RNAcentral.
GGGGAUAUUGCACAAUGGGGGGAACCCUGAUGCAGCGACGCCGCGUGGGCGAUGGAGUGCUUCGGCAUGUAAAGCCCUAUCAGCAGGGAAGAAAAUGACGGUAGCUGACUAAGAAGCCCCGGCCAAAUACGUGCCAGCAGCCGCGGUAAUACGUAUGGGGCAAGCGUUAUCCGGAUUUACUGGGUGUAAAGGGAGCGUAGACGGCAGCACAAGUCUGGAGUGAAAUGCCGGGGCUUAACCCCGGAACUGCUUUGGAAACUGUGCAGCUAGAGUGCAGGAGAGGUAAGUGGAAUUCCUAGUGUAGCGGUGAAAUGCGUAGAUAUUAGGAGGAACACCAGUGGCGAAGGCGGCUUACUGGACUGUAACUGACGUUGAGGCUCGAAAGCGUGGGGAGCAAACAA